Molecule: ribosomal RNA, 148 nt
Filed under: uncultured bacterium
Lineage: Bacteria
Description: partial 16S ribosomal RNA
Rfam family: Bacterial small subunit ribosomal RNA
Source: RNAcentral
CACUAGUGAUUGUGCCAGCAGGCCGCGGUGAAUACGUUCCCGGGCCUUGUACACACCGCCCGUCACACCACCCGAGUCGUCCGCACCCGAAGUCGCUGGCCCAACCCGCAAGGGAGGGAGGUGCCGAAGGUGUAGAGGGUAAGGGGGU